Mercenaria mercenaria is the source of this 1121-nucleotide long non-coding RNA. RefSeq lists it as uncharacterized. NCBI's taxonomy places the organism in Eukaryota, Metazoa, Mollusca, Bivalvia, Venerida, Veneridae. The transcript has 4 exons. The record is from RefSeq and is a predicted model, not a curated record.
CAAAGUUAUAUAGAUUUAUAUAAAUUAAUUAUUUUUGCAACGAGUUCAAAGUAAGGUUGAUUAUCAGUCGACUCUAUUUCAAGAUCUGAGAAUGAUUUGCCUAUUUUUGGGCGGAGAACAUAACAUACUUGUAUUACUGCCACCAUAGAUUAUCAUUAGAAUCACUGGUAGAUCUACAACAAGUCAUUCUCAGAUCUUGAAAUAGAGUCGAUGCAGAAUUAACGCAUUGUUUCAUAGAUAGUGAAUCGAUCAGAAUAGACAGAAUAGAUCAUUGUCAUAGAAAAAAAACGUCGAUGUACUUUUUGCAUUCGAAUUGACAUAAUUUGAACAUAGACUCUGCAUUUAUGCCAUAAAAUAUGUCUGAUCGGACGUGCUGAAUCAUCCGGCAAAAACCAUCAAUAUUUUUAAAGUAACAUUAAUUAGAAUCAAGGUCUACUGUGCAUUUAAUCCGUCAUGUGUUUGUUUCAGAUGAAUGAAUACCUGCACCAUGGAAACAAUGUCAUUUGCAAAUUUUUUAACCUGUGCUGGGCGUUCACAUUGACAUUUCUUGUUCAACAGGAAUACAUGAUGUCGACCAACAGUACAGCUAGAUGAAGAUAUAAAUUUAUUCAAAGAAAUAAUGGGACAAUGAAUGCUAAAAUUGCCUAGAAGAAGACUGUCAAUUUACACACCAUUUUAUACAGUAUGAUAUGGUGAACAAAAUGCCUCAAUGCAGCCAGUUCUGGAGCUUUGGCUAGACUAUGAACAGUAGACAUCAAAAGAUGAUCAUCUGAAGGGCCACAAUUGUUUAAAGCACUGGUCAACAAAAACUGAACUAUUUGAUGGAUCAUACAUCUGCAGAAUGUACUACCAUAUUUCCAGAAUCAGAGAAAUAGAAAUAUCAAGUAUUAGAGAGAAAGAAAAGUAUGCAUCAUGUAUGAAGAACUGCCUUAGAAUAAUUUGCAAAAUACAUUGAAAUGUAACAAUUGCUAAUUGCAUAAGGAAGUUAAGGAAGGUGUACUGUUCUGUAAAAUAUGUGUCCAGUGCAACAUUUCUUUUCCAAUUUUGUGAGCAUAAUUCUGAAUAAAAAUUGCAACAUGGCUACAGGGAUAAUACAAAAGGUUUUAAUCUUAUUUCCAAAC